GCCGGGCGCGGCGGCGCGCGCCUGUAGUCCCAGCUACUCUGGAGGCUGAGGCUGGAGGAUCGCUUGAACUCAGGAGUUCUGGGCUGCAGUGCACUAUGCCAAUUGGGUGUCUGCACUAAGUUUGGCAUCAAUAUGGUGACCUCCCAGGAGUGGGGUACCACCAGGUUGCCUAAGGAGGUAUGAAUCGGCCCAGGUUGGAAACGGAGCAGGUCAAAACUCCUGUGCUGAUCA
Molecule: small RNA, 231 nt
Filed under: Cervus elaphus hippelaphus
Lineage: Eukaryota; Metazoa; Chordata; Mammalia; Artiodactyla; Cervidae
Rfam family: Metazoan signal recognition particle RNA
About the family: The signal recognition particle (SRP) is a universally conserved ribonucleoprotein. It is involved in the co-translational targeting of proteins to membranes.
Source: RNAcentral